GAUGAACGCUGGCGGCGUGCCUAAUAUAUGCAAGUCGAGCGAACGGACGAGAAGCUUGCUUCUCUGAUGUUAGCGGCGGACGGGCGAGUAACACGUGGAUAACCUACCUAUAAGACUGGGAUAACUUCGGGAAACCGGAGCUAAUACCGGAUAAUAUUUUGAACCGCAUGGUUCAAAAGUGAAAGACGGUCUUGCUGUCACUUAUAGAUGGAUCCGCGCUGCAUUAGCUAGUUGGUAAGGUAACGGCUUACCAAGGCAACGAUGCAUAGCCGACCUGAGAGGGUGAUCGGCCACACUGGAACUGAGACACGGUCCAGACUCCUACGGGAGGCAGCAGUAGGGAAUCUUCCGCAAUGGGCGAAAGCCUGACGGAGCAACGCCGCGUGAGUGAUGAAGGUCUUCGGAUCGUAAAACUCUGUUAUUAGGGAAGAACAUAUGUGUAAGUAACUGUGCACAUCUUGACGGUACCUAAUCAGAAAGCCACGGCUAACUACGUG
RNAcentral lists this ribosomal RNA (497 nucleotides) under uncultured bacterium. Its description in RNAcentral is "partial 16S ribosomal RNA". It matches the Rfam family "Bacterial small subunit ribosomal RNA", at positions 28 to 507 of the family's 1533-position model. The record is from RNAcentral.